CUCACAGCGUAGGCUCAGGCCCUAGGAAGAGUGGAGGAGCUGCUGGAGCAGCAGAUGCGGCGAGGACUGCUGGACCUGGGGAUCCUGCUACCUGGCCUGUUGCCGUCUGUGGCCCACCAGCCCCAUUAGGGCAGCAACAACGCCCAGAGGAGCCUCUCGCUUAACCAGGUUCAAGGAGCAGCUGAACCUCGGCCCACAUCUCAGGGAAUCAGCAGUGAGUCCAGAUCUCACCGCACCUUCCCGGAAGUCACUUGGUCCCUGGAGAUUCAAAACCGUGUGAGGCACAAACAGCAGCGAUGGUCUCUGGUCUCCACCGACUUGGCCGAACUUCCAACUUCUUCUGAAUAAACCUUGGGACUUAAGGAGAACCUGCAACAAAUCCAGCUGAAUCUCUGCACUCCCAUAAAGAGACCUGGCAGUCUCUCUCAGAACAUGUCCCUUGGGAGCUCCAAGUCAACCUGCAACAAAUCCAGAAGCUUCCUUGCCUGAGAGACCACAUGGAAAGGUGAACUCACCAUCUUUGGAGUCACCUGAUGUCUAUAGCUCUUGUUGGGUAAGGGUGAAGAUUGCACUGUGAGAGCCUCAACAAUGAACACUAAUAUGAUUUGGGAACAAGAUAUACAAGAAGAGAUAGACUAUGAACCACCUUCAGAUACAGAAUAAGAACAAAAAAAGAGAAAACAAAAUACAGGUUUCUGAAUCUGUCAUGAGGCAUAACAAGACCUAGGCCAUCUGGUGACCAAAGAAUUAAAGACUGAGGGUCCUCAAAAACUCUAUUGAAAAAGAAGAACAAAAUUAGAGGACUCACAUGUGCUGAUUUCAACUUACUACAAAGCUACAGUACUAAGUACUUGUAUUGGCACAAAGAUAGACAUAGAUGAAUAGAAUAGAACUGUGAUUCCAGAAAUAUAUCCUUUGUUCAAUUGGUCUUUGAUACACCAAGAUAAUUCAGUAGGGAAAAGAACAGUCUUUCAAUAAAUGGUGCUGGGGACAACUGGACAUCCACAUGCCAAAGUAUGAAGCUGGAUGCUUACCUAACGCUAUGCACAAACAUUAACUCAAAAUUAAUUAACAUUCUAAUGUGACAGCUAAAACCAUAAAGCCCUUGAGGGAAACAUAGCAAUAACUAUUCAAGACCUUAGAUUAGGCAAUGCAUUCUUAAACACCAAAAGAAAAAAUAUAGGUAAAUUGGAUUUCACCAAAAUGAAAAACUUUUUUGCUUCAAUAGAUGACAUCAAAGAAGUAAAAAGACAACAUACGCAAUGGGAGAAAAUAUUUGCAAAUCAUAGAUCUGAUGAGAGACAUGUAUCUAGAAUAUAUUAAGAACUCUUACAAUUCAAUAAGAAAAACAAAAUCCCCAAUUACAAAAUGGGCAAAGGAUUUGAGUGGCAUUUUCUCCAAAGAAGAUAUGGAAGUGGACAAUAAGUACAUGAAAAGAUACUCCGCAUCAUUAGUCAUUAGGGAAAUGUACAUCAAAGCCACAAUGAGAUACCACCUCACACACAUCAGAAUGGCUGUAUUUAAAAAGACAGACAAUAACAAGUCUUGGCAAGGAUGUUGGGAAAUUGGAGCCCUCCUUGCUGAUGGAAAUGUAAACCGGUGCAGCCACUUUGGAAAAUAUCUGGCAGUUCUUUGGACGUUAAACACAUAGUUAUCACUUGACCCAGCAAUCCUAAGUGAACAUCUAAGAGAAAUGAAAACAUAUUUCCACACAAAAACAUGUACAGGAAUGAGAUGAUUUGGGUGUCAACUUUAAUGGAUUAGGAAUACCCAGAUGGUUGGCAAAGAAUUAUUUUCAAUGAUUUGGUAGGCACUGAGCCAGGAAGGGCGAAUUCUUGCUCUCUCUUCUGCCCUUGGAUGUCAGAACUCCAGGUUCUCUGGCCUUUCAUGAUACUCCAUACAGCACUGCUUCUGACCACCACUCACCAUCCAUCACCCCUAGUGACCUGCUAGAGGAGUUAUUACUUCCUAUUUCCAACUUUAUGCUCUGCUGGCCUAGAGGUCUUCCUUCCAUAGGGAGAAAUGCUACCACCAGGAGAUACAACAAUAAUUCAACUGAACUGGAAGUUAAGAUGCUAUCUGACCACUUUGGGCUUCUCAUGCCUCAGAGUCAUGCUAAGAAGGGAGUCAAAGUGUUGGCUGUCUGACCUGAUACCAAGAAGAAAUUGGCCUACUCCUUCACAAGGGAGAAAUAGGAGAUCCUCUAGGGCAUCUCUUGGUGUUACCAUGCCUGUGAUUCUGGUCAAUGGGAAAUGACCACAACCCAAUCCAGGCAGGCUAUGAAUGUCCCAGGCCUUUCAGGUAUGAAGGUUUGGGUCACCCUGCCAGGUACAGCACGGCAACCAGCUGAGGUCUUGCUGCAGGCAAACAGAACACAGCAGGUGGUAGAAGGUCAUUAGGAGCACCAGCUACACCCACGGGACCAGUUACAGAAUCAAAGGCUGCCACUGCCAUGAGUGUUUUCUCCCUGUGUUGCUACGAAUAUGUUUGCAUGUAAAUAUACAUAUAUUAGGCAAAUUUUUCUUCUUUUCUAUCUUACUCCUUUAUCAUAUGAGAUGUAUUGAGUUUGCAUCAGUAUUUAAGUAUUGUUAAUUUUACACCAUAGUGUUUAAGUUACAGGAGAGGAGUAAAUGUCACUCAAGGACUUCACUUCCUCCUCUGGGGAAGGAAUUAGUGUGUUUUUAUUGUACGAAUUGUAUCAUGCUAGGUGGAACUAUGACCUUGUCAUUAUCUUUUUAAGAGAUUAAAUAUGGUUUAAGGAGAUGCAUGUGGGUGCCAAGUUGACAAGGGGUGGACUUGUGAUGGUUGAUUAUAAGUGUCAACCUGACUGGAUCAAGAGAUGCCCAGGUAGCUGGGAGGCCAUUGAUCAUCCUCAGUACUCCAGGAGGCACUGAGCCCAUCCCUCUUCUGCCAAAAGAGAAACCUAGGAAGAUUGGCAUUUGAUUAGAAUGAUUGAUCUGUCCAAGGUAUGUCUGUGAGGGUGUUUCUGGGGGAGACUGAGGUGUGAGUUGUUGGACUGAGUGGGGAAGGUCCACCUGCAUUGAUCUGCCCUCAAUGAUCUGGGCUAAAGGCCUGGAUGGAACAAAGGUAGAGGAAGACUGAAUUCUUGUUUUCUCUUGGGGAGCUGGGACCCCUUCUUCUCUUGCCCUGGAUGUCAGAACCCCUGGUUCUCUGACCUUUGGACUCUGGGACUUAACACAGUGACCCCCUGGGCUCUUGAGCCUUUGGUGUCAGAUUGAGAGUUACACCAUCAGCUUUCUUGAUUCUGAAGACUUCAGACUUGGACUGAACCACUCUACCAGCUUCCCUGGUUCUCCAGCUUGCAGAUGACCUGUCAUGGGACUUCUCAGCCUCCAAAAUUGCAUGAGCUAAUUCCGCUAAAAAAUCCCCUUCUUAUCUUUCUCUCUGUACAUGCAUCCUAUUGGCUCUGUGUCUAAGAAGAGCACAUACUAAAACAAAGAAUGUCAUAGGGAACUAUUCAAAAUAGCCCAAAAUGGAAACUACCCAAAUGCCCAUCAACUGAUGAAAGGACAUAAGGUGGGACACACACACACACAAACACAAACACACCCAACAUACACAAAAAUACAAAAACACAAACACACACACACAAACACAUACACACAAACAUACAAACACAAACAUACAAACAUACAUACACACACACAAACAAAAAACAAAAAAAACACAUAAAAAUACAAAGACACAAACACAUAAAACACACAAAAAUA
Long non-coding RNA from Homo sapiens (human), 3731 nucleotides. RefSeq lists it as uncharacterized. The transcript is spliced from 5 exons. The record is from RefSeq and is a predicted model, not a curated record. NCBI's taxonomy places the organism in Eukaryota, Metazoa, Chordata, Mammalia, Primates, Hominidae.